GACGUUGAUAUUCAACGUCAUAAACAUUCAACUUACAUGUUUAUGACGUUGAUAUUCGACGUCAUAAACAUUCAACUUAGAUCUUUAUUCAACGUCAUAAACAUUCAACUUAGAUGUUUAUGACGUUGAUAUUCGACGUCGAUAUUCGACGUCAUAAACAACAUCAAGUUUGGUGUUUAUGACGUCGAUACUCGACGUCAUAAACACCAUCAAGUUUGGUGUUUAUGACGUCGAUAUUCGACGUC
This is a non-coding RNA of Paramuricea clavata, 245 nucleotides long. Lineage: Eukaryota; Metazoa; Cnidaria; Anthozoa; Malacalcyonacea; Plexauridae. The record is from the annotation of a GenBank genome assembly.